CCUACGGGAGGCAGCAGUGGGGAAUAUUGCACAAUGGGCGCAAGCCUGAUGCAGCCAUGCCGCGUGUAUGAAGAAGGCCUUCGGGUUGUAAAGUACUUUCAGCAGGGAGGAAGGCGGUGAGGUUAAUAACCUCACCGAUUGACGUUACCCGCAGAAGAAGCACCGGCUAACUCCGUGCCAGCAGCCGCGGUAAUACGGAGGGUGCAAGCGUUAAUCGGAAUUACUGGGCGUAAAGCGCACGCAGGCGGUCUGUCAAGUCGGAUGUGAAAUCCCCGGGCUCAACCUGGGAACUGCAUUUGAGACUGGCAGGCUAGAGCCUUGUAGAGGGGGGUAGAAUUCCAGGUGUAGCGGUGAAAUGCGUAGAGAUCUGGAGGAAUACCGGUGGCGAAGGCGGCCCCCUGGACAAAGACUGACGCUCAGGUGCGAAAGCGUGAGGAGCAAACAGGAUUAGAUACCCGUGUAGUC
RNAcentral lists this ribosomal RNA (465 nucleotides) under uncultured bacterium. RNAcentral describes it as "bacterial SSU rRNA". It matches the Rfam family "Bacterial small subunit ribosomal RNA", at positions 338 to 795 of the family's 1533-position model. The record is from RNAcentral.